UACGUAGGGUGCGAGCGUUAAUCGGAAUUACUGGGCGUAAAGCGUGCGCAGGCGGUUUUGUAAGACAGAGGUGAAAUCCCCAGGCUCAACCUGGGAACUGCGUCCGAUACUGGAUGGCUUGAAUUCGGGAGAGGGAUGCAGAAUUCCAGGUGUAGCGGUGAAAUGCGUAGAUAUCUGGAGGAAUACCGGUGGCGAAGGCGGCAUCCUGGACCGACAUUGACGCUGAGGAGCGAAAGCUAGGGGAGCAAACGGG
Molecule: ribosomal RNA, 253 nt
Filed under: uncultured bacterium
Lineage: Bacteria
Description: partial 16S ribosomal RNA
Rfam family: Bacterial small subunit ribosomal RNA
Source: RNAcentral